Molecule: long non-coding RNA, 1093 nt
Filed under: Amborella trichopoda
Lineage: Eukaryota; Viridiplantae; Streptophyta; Magnoliopsida; Amborellales; Amborellaceae
Description: long non-coding RNA (ATRI_LNC002443)
Source: RNAcentral
AGCGUUCUAAAACCAACAAGAUUGGUCCUUAAUAAACUCUCGAGAUUCGUGAGUGAAGCAAGCUGUAAUGACUUGUGUUCUGAAACCAGCGUUCUGAAACCAGCAAGAUUGGUCCUUAAUAAUCUCUCGACAUUCAUGAGUAAAUCAAGCACAGCUUGCUUCACUGUAAUGCUCUGCUCUGUGCAAACCACCUCUUUGAAUAUGUGAAAUCUUACAUCUUGUUGCUGGUUUUUUUAGAGAGCAGAAAAGGUAGAGGGUGAGAAGAGACUGAAGCGGCGAAGAGGGAGAGGAUGAGAAGAGACUGAAGAGGUGAAAACUAGAGCUACGGGCCUAGCCUCUAUUUGCUGAGUUUGUUUUUUAGCGAGCAGAAAAGUUAGAGGGUGAGAAGAGACUGCAGCGGCGAAGAGGUAGAGGAUGAGAAGAGGCGAAAACUAGGGCUACGGGCGAGGCCUCUAUUUGCUGAGUUUUUGGGAGAGCGAAAGGGAAAACUCAGCGGCUCUCAUUUCUUAGAGAGAGGAAGAGGCGAAAGCUAAGGCUACGGGCCUGGUCUCCAUUUGCUGAGUUUUUUUUGCCCCUAUUUUUUGAGUUUUUGGGAGAGCGAAAGGGAAAACACAGCUCUCAUUUCUCAGAGAGAGGAAGAGGCGAAGGCUAGGGCCGCGGGCCUGGCCUGCUGUUCAAAGAAGAUAAAAACCAUAGGCACAUGCAUUAUUUUGUAAAAUAAGUCCCAUACGAAGUCUUGUAAGAUUUUUGAGAAAGUCCCAUGGGAGGGCCUGAGCCACUGUUUCUGGAGAGAAAAAUGCUACUAAGCUUGAAUAGAAACAGGUUAGAGAGAGAGGGAUGAAGCAGGGAGAAGAAAGAAGGUAAAGCAGGAAGGAGAGCAGGGAGGGAGGAGAGGAUAGAGCGCUACUAAGCUUGAAUAGAAAGAGGUUAGAGAGAGAGAGAGAGACAUGAAGCAAGGAGGAAAAAGAAGGUAAAACAGGAAAGAGACUAGGGAAGAGCGUGAGGCGCGAGCGCGUACGGUUUUAAGAGAAACAUGACCCAAAAGAUUCGAGUCGGACUUAAAUAUUUUAUUGUUCGUGAUUUUGGGGUAAAG